CUGUAACUCGAGUUACUUCUGGGGAGCGUUAUGUUUUAAUUGUGUGGGGAAGGUCUUGGCAAGGUAUAAGGUCAAUCUCUUGUCCUUGCUGCUGGCUGAACCGGCGUCAGGAUGAUACCGCUACAUGCAUAUGUGGGCCCAUAUGGAAUUGAACGGGACC
RNAcentral lists this non-coding RNA (160 nucleotides) under Leptocylindrus danicus. Lineage: Eukaryota; Bacillariophyta; Leptocylindrophyceae; Leptocylindrales; Leptocylindraceae. The record is from RNAcentral.